RNAcentral lists this RNase P RNA (411 nucleotides) under Acidobacteriota bacterium. Its description in RNAcentral is "Acidobacteria bacterium (freshwater sediment metagenome) RNase P RNA component class A". It matches the Rfam family "Bacterial RNase P class A". Rfam says of the family: Ribonuclease P (RNase P) is a ubiquitous endoribonuclease, found in archaea, bacteria and eukarya as well as chloroplasts and mitochondria. Lineage: Bacteria; Pseudomonadati; Acidobacteriota. The record is from RNAcentral.
CGGAGAGCUCCGCGGUGGUCGCCGCUCUGGCUCUUGUCAGCGCGGAGGAAAGUCCGAACUCCGACGGGCAGCAUGCUCGCUAACGGCGAGGCGCGGUGACGCGACGGAAAGUGCAACAGAGAGGAGACCGCCCGGGCCCUCAGGGGCACGGGUAAGGGUGAAAGGGUGCGGUAAGAGCGCACCGCUCCACCGGUGACGGUGUGAGGCACGGUAAACCCCAUGCGGAGCAAGACCAAAUAGGGUGGCGAAUCGCGGGUCGCCCGUCCCGCUUUCGGCUCUCCGUUUCGACGGCGGGCGCGAGUCGCCGCCGGGUAGGUCGCACGAGGCCGACGGCAACGUCGGUCCCAGAGGAAUGACCGCCGACCCGGUUUCCCGGGAGGACAGAAUUCGGCUUAUGGGGCUCUCCGGCGU